This 619-nucleotide ribosomal RNA is filed under the name uncultured bacterium. Its description in RNAcentral is "bacterial SSU rRNA". It matches the Rfam family "Bacterial small subunit ribosomal RNA", at positions 8 to 623 of the family's 1533-position model. The record is from RNAcentral.
AGAGUUUGAUUAUGGCUCAAGAUGAACGCUGGCGGCGUGCUUAACACAUGCAAGUCGAACGAAGCACUCUUUUAGAUUUCCUUCGGGGAAGAAGAAAUUGUGACUGAGUGGCGGACGGGUGAGUAACGCGUGGGCAACCUGCCCCAUACAGGGGGAUAACAGCCGGAAACGGCUGCUAAAACCGCAUAAGCGCACAAAGGCCGCAUGGCCUGGUGUGAAAAACUCCGGUGGUAUGGGAUGGGCCCGCGUCUGAUUAGCUAGUUGGCGGGGGAGAGGCCCACCAAGGCGACGAUCAGUAGCCGACCUGAGAGGGUGGCCGGCCACAUUGGGACUGAGACACGGCCCAAACUCCUACGGGAGGCAGCAGUGGGGAAUAUUGCACAAUGGGGGAAACCCUGAUGCAGCGACGCCGCGUGAGCGAAGAAGUAUUUCGGUAUGUAAAGCUCUAUCAGCAGGGAAGAAAAAUGACGGUACCUGAGUAAGAAGCACCGGCUAAAUACGUGCCAGCAGCCGCGGUAAUACGUAUGGUGCAAGCGUUAUCCGGAUUUACUGGGUGUAAAGGGAGCGCAUGCGGUGCGGCUAGUCUGAUGUGAAAGCCCGGGGCUCAACCCCGGGACUG